This 403-nucleotide ribosomal RNA is filed under the name uncultured bacterium. RNAcentral describes it as "partial 16S ribosomal RNA". It matches the Rfam family "Bacterial small subunit ribosomal RNA", at positions 28 to 526 of the family's 1533-position model. The record is from RNAcentral.
GACGAACGCUGGCGGCGUGCCUAAUACAUGCAAGUCGAACGCAGUGGGGACGGGUGAGUAACACGUGGGUAACCUCCCAUCAGAGGGGAUAACACUUGGAAACAGGUGCUAAACCGAUACUGAUGGAUGGACUCGCUGUGCAUUAGCUAGUUGGUGAGGUAACGGCUCACAAAGGCAACGAUGCAUAGCCGGCCUGAGAGGGUGACCAGCCACACUGGGACUGAGACACGGCCCAGACUCCUACGGGAGGCAGCAGUGGGGAAUCUUGGGCAAUGGGCGAAAGUCUGACCGAGCAACGCCGCGUGAGUGAAGAAGGUUUUCGGAUCGUAAAGCUCUGUUGUUGGGGAAGCGGUAUCUAAAGAAAAAGCAACGGCUAACUACGUGCCAGCAGCCGCGGUAAUAC